Molecule: unclassified non-coding RNA, 2729 nt
Filed under: Homalodisca vitripennis (glassy-winged sharpshooter)
Lineage: Eukaryota; Metazoa; Arthropoda; Insecta; Hemiptera; Cicadellidae
Description: potassium voltage-gated channel protein Shab-like, transcript variant X4
Rfam family: Potassium channel RNA editing signal (bases 1373-1486)
Source: RNAcentral
CACGCGUGAUGAGGCGGCCGCGGUGGCGGGCCGGCAGGGGGCGGGGUCGCUAGUGGGGAUGGCGGGCCCGACUGAGCGCGAGAGAAGCGACCCCAGCGUGGUCCGAUGGGACGACAACAAGUCGGGCGACCCCGGCGGGGUCCGGUGGGAAGACCGACCCCAAGAGCGCGAGAGAGACCCGUCAGUAGUGCGAUGGGACGAUGCGAAAGAAGUCCGCUUCCCGUCACCCCCGCUGCCUCCCCUGAUCCUGCAGAACCGCUCACAUUCCCGCUCGAUGUCCUCGUUGCCCCCGGAGCCCUUCAUGAUCAUGCGGUCCAAGGCGCUGAACCGGCGAGUCUGCAUCAACGUGGGAGGGGUGAAGCACGAGGUCCUGUGGCGUACCUUGGAGAGACUCCCUCACACACGCCUGGGCCGCCUCCGGGACUGCAACACCCACGAGGCCAUCACGGAACUGUGCGACGACUACUCGCUCAUUGACAACGAAUACUUCUUUGACCGCCACCCCAAGUCUUUUUCGUCCAUCCUGAACUUUUACCGGACCGGGAAGCUCCAUCUCGUGGACGAAAUGUGCGUUUUGGCCUUUAGUGACGACCUGGAGUACUGGGGGGUGGACGAGCUCUACCUGGAGUCGUGCUGCCAGCACAAGUACCAUCAACGCAAGGAGCACGUCCACGAGGAGAUGCGCAAGGAGGCGGAGUCACUCAGGCAGCGAGACGAAGAGGAAUUCGGGGAAGGCAAGUGUGCUCAUUACCAGCAGUUCCUGUGGGACCUCCUGGAGAAACCGACCACUUCCAUCGCCGCCCGGGUGAUAGCCGUUAUCUCAAUAUUAUUCAUCGUAUUGUCCACGAUAGCCCUGACGCUGAACACAAUACCUCAGAUGCAAGUGAAUGACGAGAAAGGUGCCGUCCAAGACAAUCCUCAGCUGGCGAUGGUGGAGGCCGUCUGUAUCACGUGGUUCACCCUCGAGUACGUGUUGAGGUUCAGUGCAUCUCCGAACAAGUGGAAGUUCUUCAAGGGUGGCCUAAACGUUAUAGAUCUGUUAGCGAUUCUUCCGUAUUACGUAUCGUUAUUUCUCGUUGAGACCAAUAAAAACGCAACGGACCAAUUUCAAGACGUGAGGAGGGUCGUACAGAUCUUCAGGAUCAUGAGGAUACUGAGGAUCCUGAAACUGGCGAGGCACUCUACAGGCCUCCAGAGUCUCGGGUUCACCUUGAGAAACUCGUACAAAGAGUUGGGUCUUCUGAUGCUCUUCCUCGCGAUGGGAGUUCUGAUCUUCUCGAGCCUCGCUUACUUCGCCGAGAAGGAGGAACCAGGCACCAAGUUUAUCUCGAUCCCGGAGACCUUCUGGUGGGCAGGGAUCACCAUGACCACAGUCGGAUAUGGAGACAUCUACCCCACUACUCCAUUGGGGAAAGUGAUCGGUAGUGUCUGCUGUAUCUGUGGAGUCCUGGUCAUUGCGUUGCCCAUUCCCAUCAUAGUCAACAACUUCGCCGAGUUCUACAAGAAUCAGAUGCGGCGCGAGAAGGCGCUCAAGCGUCGGGAGGCCUUGGAGAGGGCCAAGCGCGAGGGCAGUAUCGUCUCCUUCCAUCACAUCAAUCUUCGAGACGCCUUCGCCAAGAGCAUGGACCUGAUAGACGUCAUUGUGGACACAGACGCGGUUCUUGGGCAUAACAUGGCGGCCCCAGACGGUAACAGCACGGAGGGGGAGAGCGGAAGUGUCAAUCCGGCACAAACCGGACCGGGGUGCUAUCGUAACCACGAGCACUUCACGUCCCGACAUAGACGACCCCCAGUGCAGCCCCCCCUGCUGGACCUGGAGCCCCCCGAGGCCCCCCCGCAACCGCAGUCACCUCCUCACAACCCCCCUCCCACUAGCCCGGGGAAUGAUAGCGCGGCACUGGCUAGGCUUGAUGAUUUUCCCAGUGAGUUCGAGUGUUGUUUUUGCAAUACAAAGGACUACAAAGAAUUCAUUGAUGCCGAAAGCUUGAUGCCGUUGGCCACUAGCGACUUCAAGAACCCAAUCUGCUUAGAGAUGAAGCUGCUGCGGAGCGGAAGGGGGCUGGAGCUGGCCGGGGGGGUCGGUGGGGGCCUACUGGGAAUGGGUGGGGGCGUCAUGGACGUCGGCAGCGUGGAUAGCUCUGACACCUACGCAAGCUGCAACACUCAGCCUUUCAACUCUCAGGGGGACCUGACAGAGACGCCCUGUGAUCCUCUGGACAGCAACCUCUACAUUAACCCCUUGGAGAGCCCGAGUCCCCGUGGGGGCGUGAAGAAGAGCGCCAGCGGAGAUACGGCCCUCAGGAGUCUGGGGGCGUCCCCCCUCGAGGAGGCUUACCGGGGCUUCGGUGCUCCAGAGCGAGGCAGCCGAGGAAGCCUGAAUGAUACGCCACUGCCAAAACAUCGGAAAACGAGAUUCCAACAGGUUCUUGGAUCUUCGCUUGAAAUUCAAGAAUUCCGUUUAAAGGCUAUUAUCACUCACCUGGAUGGAUAUAACAGGAUUGACUUAUGACUGAUAUGUUGCUACACAAAUAACAUAAACUUGUGUACUCAUCUCUUAUACUAAAGUUCUAUGCAAAUUUUCAUAACAGACCCUCAGCCAAAGCUGGGAGAAUCGAUAGGACGAGAAUCGCAGGAGAGUCUGGAGACAAUCAAGCGACGAAGGCCUUCGUUCAUGCCCACCAAGUCAAUUGCCACAGCCACGAGAAUUAUCAACCAACAUCUUUUUGGGC